GCCCCGGUGGUGGAAUUGGUAGACACAAGGGAUUUAAAAUCCCUCGGCGUUCGCGCUGUGCCGGUUCAAGUCCGGCCCGGGGCA
RNAcentral lists this transfer RNA (84 nucleotides) under Vibrio palustris. It matches the Rfam family "tRNA". Rfam says of the family: Transfer RNA (tRNA) molecules are approximately 80 nucleotides in length. Their secondary structure includes four short double-helical elements and three loops (D, anti-codon, and T loops). The record is from Rfam by way of RNAcentral. Lineage: Bacteria; Pseudomonadati; Pseudomonadota; Gammaproteobacteria; Vibrionales; Vibrionaceae.